CUCUUCGCAUAAAUUGGAACUGAUGAGACCCCAGCUUUGGAGACGUUCUUUUGUGGCUGUAUGAAAUGUCCUUAUCCUUGAGAUUUGUACUGUUUUAUGUGUAUUAAACAUCAUGUUAUUAAACCACGGUUUGGUGAGUACGGUCGGCAUUAUUGAAAAGUGUUUAAUUCCUUUGUUUUCAGAUAUUGUUCGGUAUUCUGUAUUCCAUUCAUUCAGGAUCUGUUUUUUCUGUACUAGUAGUGCGUCACCUAGGGUUUGAAGAUUUUUCGUCAAAGGAUUCAAAAUUCACGUCGGAAUCGGAAUCAUCCCUUCCGCCGCGGUCAUCAUCAGGAUCCCUUCUACUCAUCUUGGCUUCAUGCCAAACCUAACCUAUAUUUUUUUUUCUCUUGAAAAUCUAACCUAACCUUAAAUAAAAUCUUAAUUUACAGUAUAAUAAAUAUUUACAGUUGGCAGUUAUUAGAUAUAAUAAAGAAAUUGAUGGAACUACA
Molecule: long non-coding RNA, 488 nt
Organism: Uranotaenia lowii
Lineage: Eukaryota; Metazoa; Arthropoda; Insecta; Diptera; Culicidae
Exons: 2
Source: RefSeq, a predicted model, not a curated record